UACGAGAGGCCCAAACGUUAUUCGGAAUUACUGGGCUUAAAGAGUUCGUAGGCGGCGCAGAAAGUGGGGUGUGAAAGCCCUCGGCUCAACCGAGGAAUUGCGCUCCAAACUACUGUGCUUGAGGAAGCUAGAGGUGAGCAGAACUGAUGGUGGAGCGGUGAAAUGCGUUGAUAUCAUCAGGAAUACUGGAGGCGAAGGCGGCUCACUGGGGCUUUUCUGACGCUGAGGAACGAAAGCCAGGGUAGCGAACGGG
RNAcentral lists this ribosomal RNA (253 nucleotides) under uncultured bacterium. RNAcentral describes it as "partial 16S ribosomal RNA". It matches the Rfam family "Bacterial small subunit ribosomal RNA", at positions 524 to 776 of the family's 1533-position model. The record is from RNAcentral.